RNAcentral lists this ribosomal RNA (484 nucleotides) under uncultured bacterium. RNAcentral describes it as "partial 16S ribosomal RNA". It matches the Rfam family "Bacterial small subunit ribosomal RNA", at positions 30 to 507 of the family's 1533-position model. The record is from RNAcentral.
AUUGAACGCUGGCGGCAGGCCUAACACAUGCAAGUCGAGCGGAUGAAGGGAGCUUGCUCCUGUAUUCAGCGGCGGACGGGUGAGUAAUGCCUAGGAAUCUGCCUGGUCGUGGGGGAUAACGUCCGUAAACGGGCGCUAAUACCGCAUACGUCCUGAGGUAGAACGUGGGGGAUCUUCGGACCUCACGCUAUCAGAUGAGCCUAGGUCGGAUUAGCUAGUUGGUGGGGUAAAGGCCUACCAAGGCGACGAUCCGUAACUGGUCUGAGAGGAUGAUCAGUCACACUGGAACUGAGACACGGUCCAGACUCCUACGGGAGGCAGCAGUGGGGAAUAUUGGACAAUGGGCGAAAGCCUGAUCCAGCCAUGCCGCGUGUGUGAAGAAGGUCUUCGGAUUGUAAAGCACUUUAAGUUGGGAGGAAGGGCAGUAAGUUAAUACCUUGCUGUUUUGACGUUACCAACAGAAUAAGCACCGGCUAACUUCGUG